GAGAAGAGAAUUAUUGGGAAAAUACAUCUACUUAGUCCGUAAAGUUGUCCUUUUUUUAACAACCCUUUCAGGAAGCAUUCUUUGGUGGUGAUGCAUCAUCCUUGUUAUUAAAAUAUAUAACAUAGGCUUUCAUCAGACAAAAAGACUGCGGUUGUGUUCUUAGCAAUGAUGAUAAUGGUGUAUGGGUGAUGAUGAGAUCAGAUAACAUAAACUUUUGAGAACUCACAGUAAGAGUUGAAGCAAAGUUAGCUAACCUCUGAUGAUGGUAGAGCCCUUAGGCCUUGACCAGUAGAGUUUGUUGGCGCCAUUUCGUCUAAUAGCAGAUUGACCAGCAGCUUAGCAAAUUCAAAAUUCCCUCACGGUACCUGUCUUCAAAACACUCAGGUUCGAUUCUAGGCAUGAACUGUUUCUUGUUACUUUUCACUUCAAAUCAUUUCCCUUCUUUAUAAACAAUAUGAAAUAACCAUAAAUAUUAAA
Cucumis melo (muskmelon) is the source of this 477-nucleotide long non-coding RNA. RefSeq lists it as uncharacterized. NCBI's taxonomy places the organism in Eukaryota, Viridiplantae, Streptophyta, Magnoliopsida, Cucurbitales, Cucurbitaceae. The record is from RefSeq and is a predicted model, not a curated record. The transcript is spliced from 2 exons.